This 313-nucleotide ribosomal RNA is filed under the name uncultured bacterium. Its description in RNAcentral is "bacterial SSU rRNA". It matches the Rfam family "Bacterial small subunit ribosomal RNA", at positions 775 to 1067 of the family's 1533-position model. The record is from RNAcentral.
GGAUUAGAUACCCUGGUAGUCCACGCUGUAAACGAUGGGUACUAGGAGGGGGAGGGGCUCCGCCUUCCCUUUCGUAGCCAACGCGUUAAGUACCCCGCCUGGGGAGUAUGCUCGCAAGGGUAAAACUCAAAGGAAUUGACGGGGGCUCACACAAGCGGUGGAGCAUGUGGUUUAAUUCGAAGCAACGCGAAGAACCUUACCCGGGUUUGACAUGAGCGAAAGCGCGAGGAAGUAGCUGCCUGAAAGGGUUAGCCAACGGUAUCCAGUCCGGAACCUCGUACAGGUGUUGCAUGGCCGUCGUCAGCUCGUGCCG